RNAcentral lists this ribosomal RNA (449 nucleotides) under uncultured bacterium. RNAcentral's name for it is "partial 16S ribosomal RNA". It matches the Rfam family "Bacterial small subunit ribosomal RNA", at positions 29 to 523 of the family's 1533-position model. The record is from RNAcentral.
AACGAACGCUGGCGGCAUGCCUAACACAUGCAAGUCGAACGAAGCCUUCGGGCUUAGUGGCGCACGGGUGCGUAACGCGUGGGAAUCUGCCCUUUGGUUCGGAAUAACAGUUGGAAACGACUGCUAAUACCGGAUGAUGACGAAAGUCCAAAGAUUUAUCGCCAGAGGAUGAGCCCGCGUAGGAUUAGCUAGUUGGUGUGGUAAAGGCGCACCAAGGCGACGAUCCUUAGCUGGUCUGAGAGGAUGAUCAGCCACACUGGGACUGAGACACGGCCCAGACUCCUACGGGAGGCAGCAGUGGGGAAUAUUGGACAAUGGGCGAAAGCCUGAUCCAGCAAUGCCGCGUGAGUGAUGAAGGCCCUAGGGUUGUAAAGCUCUUUCACCGGAGAAGAUAAUGACGGUAUCCGGAGAAGAAGCCCCGGCUAACUUCGUGCCAGCAGCCGCUGUAA